Molecule: long non-coding RNA, 1079 nt
Filed under: Jatropha curcas
Lineage: Eukaryota; Viridiplantae; Streptophyta; Magnoliopsida; Malpighiales; Euphorbiaceae
Description: long non-coding RNA (JCUR_LNC001016)
Source: RNAcentral
CAGUAACUACGGAAAUGACCCAAAAGUAUUCCACAUGCUCCUAAAAUAAACAAAUUAGCAUCACCUAUCUUAUCCUCAUUCCUAAACACCCCUUUUCUCCUUCUUCUAAACUUUCUCUCAACUUUCUCUCAAACCAAACACCUUGGCAAAAUCUUCAAAGGCUUGAAACUCCACUUAAAUCUUCUCCUCUUCCCACAAAAAGAAAUAUAUUACUCUCCUCUCCAUGCUCUUUAAGUUGAUGUAAAUAUUGUAGCUAGAUUCUUAGUAUUUCAAGAUAAAAAUCCCUCUUUUAGCUCCUACAUCUUUCUGUCUCUCUUCUUUCUUUUUAUUUUCUUUUAAAUCAAAGACUAGAAUCAUAUUUAUGAGGUCAUAUUCAUCAUAUUUUUAUAAAUAAAUCAUUUGUUCAUGUGUUAGUUUGUGAAAUCCUCAUUUUCUUGAUUUUAGGAGCUGAAUCCUCCAAAAACAAAGGAAAAGAGGUGAUGGAGGGCUAGCAUUUUAGAGCUUUGUGCUAUUUUCCACUAUUUUCGAUAUUUUUAGGAACUUCUUGCUUAUUUUUAUAUUAUUGUGCAAGAAAAUGUGAUUUUUAUGUUACCUAUACCUUGGUCUAUGCUUAAGAUGUAAUCUUUGGUUUUAAUAUGCUUUAUGUGAUAAUUUUUGCUUGGUGUUUACUCCUAGUCUGAAAAUAUAAGGUUGACCCAUAUUUUUUCAUGAUUUUCAUGUUAUUUUGAUGUUAUGGUGAAUAGCUUUUAUAAUUUUAUAGCGUAGAUGUUAUAUGAGCUUGUCUGUGCAAAAUGAGUAAUUUUUUCUUGUGUUAUGCUUUGGAUAUUUGAUCAUUUAGAUGGUUGUCCCUCUUUGUUAAAAAUGAUUAUCUUGAUAAUUGAAAUAGAAUAUGAUUGUAUUUUGAUAAUAGUGGUAUGGUGUAUGUUCAAAUUGGUAAGAAAAAUACAUUUUGAUGUAUUUUUACUUGAAAUCAAGUGUAGGAGCUGCUACCUUUAACUUUUCAAUUUUAAUAUCUUCGCUUUAAUUAAUUAUUCAAGGUAAUUAAGCAUGUAUUAAUGUGGGUCUUAAGUCUCAUGAAG